UCCAGACUCCUACGGGAGGCAGCAGUGGGGAAUAUUGCACAAUGGGGGAAACCCUGAUGCAGCGACGCCGCGUGAGUGAAGAAGUAAUUCGCUAUGUAAAGCUCUAUCAGCAGGGAAGAAAAUGACGGUACCUGAGUAAGAAGCCCCGGCUAACUACGUGCCAGCAGCCGCGGUAAUACGUAGGGGGCAAGCGUUAUCCGGAUUUACUGGGUGUAAAGGGAGCGUAGACGGCAGUGCAAGUCAGAAGUGAAAUCCAUGGGCUUAACCCGUGAACUGCUUUUGAAACUGCAGGACUUGAGUGGAGUAGAGGUAGGCGGAAUUCCCGGUGUAGCGGUGAAAUGCGUAGAGAUCGGGAGGAACACCAGUGGCGAAGGCGGCCUACUGGGCUUUAACUGACGCUGAAGCACGAAAGCGUGGGUAGCAAACAGGAUUAGAUACCCCUGUA
This 445-nucleotide ribosomal RNA is filed under the name uncultured bacterium. RNAcentral's name for it is "bacterial SSU rRNA". It matches the Rfam family "Bacterial small subunit ribosomal RNA", at positions 330 to 792 of the family's 1533-position model. The record is from RNAcentral.